UUUGAGUAUGCAUCUUUAGAUACUUAUUUCAAAAUAAAAUAGAAAAUGAAAAAAAGUUGUUCGUCACUUUACUUUUUUUUACCGACAAGUUUUCUAGGUUCAUUUCCAUUUCUUUAUUUUAUUUGAUUUUAUCAUUUUUUUUAUCUUUUUAUUAAUCAUUGAUCAUGAAAUAGGAAAUCCCUCCUUAGACUUUCGUUCCUUUCUUUCUUCCUAUUCCACUCAUCUUACCCUACACCUCGAAAUGAUUUCCUAUCAUCCCCAC
RNAcentral lists this long non-coding RNA (262 nucleotides) under Vigna radiata. RNAcentral's name for it is "long non-coding RNA (VRAD_LNC010032)". Lineage: Eukaryota; Viridiplantae; Streptophyta; Magnoliopsida; Fabales; Fabaceae. The record is from RNAcentral.